Molecule: ribosomal RNA, 97 nt
Filed under: Chelon saliens (leaping mullet)
Lineage: Eukaryota; Metazoa; Chordata; Actinopteri; Mugiliformes; Mugilidae
Source: RNAcentral
UACGCCCGAUCUCGUCCGAUCUCGGAAGCUAAGCAGGGUCGGGCCUGGUUAGUACUUGGAUGGGAGACCGCCUGGGAGUACCAGGUGCUGUAAGCUU